Molecule: ribosomal RNA, 253 nt
Filed under: uncultured bacterium
Lineage: Bacteria
Description: partial 16S ribosomal RNA
Rfam family: Bacterial small subunit ribosomal RNA
Source: RNAcentral
UACGAAGGGGGCUAGCGUUGCUCGGAAUUACUGGGCGUAAAGGGAGCGUAGGCGGAUAGUUCAGUCAGAGGUGAAAGCCCAGGGCUCAACCUUGGAACUGCCUUUGAUACUGGCUAUCUUGAGUUUGGGAGAGGUGUGUGGAACUCCGAGUGUAGAGGUGAAAUUCGUAGAUAUUCGGAAGAACACCAGUGGCGAAGGCGGCUCACUGGCCCGAUACUGACGCUGAGGCACGAAAGCGUGGGGAGCAAACAGG